This 1304-nucleotide small RNA is filed under the name Pongo abelii (Sumatran orangutan). Its description in RNAcentral is "retained intron". Lineage: Eukaryota; Metazoa; Chordata; Mammalia; Primates; Hominidae. The record is from RNAcentral.
AGCACAGUCCCGCAGACGGCUGAGCGUGCGGCUGCGGGAGCUUCUGUGGGAGUACGGUCAUGAGCCUUUUGCUGUACUAUGCCCUCCCCGCCCUGGGCAGCUACGCCAUGCUGUCCAUCUUCUUCCUGCGCCGGCCUCACCUGCUGCACACACCCAGGGCUCCCACCUUCCGCAUCCGCCUGGGGGCCCACCGAGGAGGAUCUGGAGAGCUGCUGGAGAACACCAUGGAGGCCAUGGAGAAGUGAGUGUAUCUGCCCCUGCCCAGGUUGCCAUGUGAGGGUGUGCAGGUCGUGGACUGCAUCACAGCAAGGGACGCCAUUCACUUCCUAGCUGGGUGACUGGCGCCCCCUGGAGGUGGCCUGCACAUCCCGCCAUGAACUCUGCUCUCAUUCCCGGCCACCUCCCCGCCACCAUGCCCCUCAUCCCAGUCCCCUGCCCCCGCCCCCCGCUGACCUUCACCCCCACAGCUCCAUGGCCCAGCGCUCGGACCUCCUGGAGCUCGACUGUCAGCUGACACGGGACAGAGUGGUGGUGGUUUCACACGAUGAGAACCUGUGCCGCCAGUCGGGCCUGAACAGGGAUGUGGGCAGCCUGGACUUCGAGGACCUGCCCCUCUACAAGGAGAAGCUGGAGGUUUACUUCUCUCCAGGCCACUUUGCUCACGGGUCAGACCGGCGCAUGGUUCGUCUGGAGGACCUGUUCCAGAGGUUUCCAAGGACACCCAUGAGCGUGGAGAUCAAAGGGAAAAACAAAGAGCUCAUCCGUGAGAUAGCAGGCUUGGUGAGACGCUAUGACCGUAAUGAAAUCACCAUCUGGGCCUCGGAGAAGAGCUCGGUCAUGAAGAAAUGCAAGGCUGCCAACCCCGAGAUGCCCCUGUCCUUCACAAUAAGCCGAGGAUUCUGGGUGCUGCUUUCCUACUACCUGGGGCUGCUUCCCUUCAUCCCAAUCCCUGAGAAGUUUUUCUUCUGCUUCCUGCCCAACAUCAUCAACAGGACCUAUUUCCCAUUUUCCUGCUCUUGCCUGAACCAGCUGUUGGCUGUGGUUUCGAAAUGGCUGAUCAUGAGGAAGAGUCUGAUCCGACACUUGGAGGAGCGAGGGGUGCAGGUGGUCUUUUGGUGCCUUAAUGAAGAGUCAGAUUUUGAAGCAGCCUUCAGCGUGGGAGCCACUGGCGUCAUGACGGAUUAUCCCACAGCCCUGCGGCACUACCUGGACAACCAUGGACCAGCUGCCCGGACCUCCUAAGUCCAGAAGCCUCAAGCUCUCCUGUUUCUCUUCCUGAAAAAUAAAUAUUUGCCUUUGGAUCA